GCCGUGGUGCUGGAACUGGUAGACAGGCUAGCUUGAGGGGCUAGUGUCCAUUGCGGGCGUGCGAGUUCAACUCUCGCCCACGGCACCA
RNAcentral lists this transfer RNA (88 nucleotides) under Candidatus Moraniibacteriota bacterium. RNAcentral describes it as "tRNA-Leu". It matches the Rfam family "tRNA". From Rfam's summary of the family: Transfer RNA (tRNA) molecules are approximately 80 nucleotides in length. Their secondary structure includes four short double-helical elements and three loops (D, anti-codon, and T loops). The record is from RNAcentral. Lineage: Bacteria; Candidatus Moraniibacteriota.